Molecule: small RNA, 289 nt
Filed under: Mus spicilegus (steppe mouse)
Lineage: Eukaryota; Metazoa; Chordata; Mammalia; Rodentia; Muridae
Description: 7SK RNA (ENSMSIG00000008465.1)
Rfam family: 7SK RNA (bases 5-100)
Source: RNAcentral
GUAUGAGGGUGAUCUGGCUAUAACAUCUGUCACCCUGCUGAUCACCAGUGUUGAUCUAGCUGAUCUGGCCCAUGAGCAAAUAUGUAUUCCUUCUUCCUUCCCGAAUAUGUAUCCUGCAUGAGGUUUCUCCAAUAAAAGAAGACCAACCUCUGUUGGUGGAGAGUAAGAGAGAGCAGUUAGAAGGUAAAGCAGCCCCGAAGCUGAACCAGGGGUAGUGAAGGGGCUCUCAGAGGCCUGUCUUACCAUCAUCAGAGGCACACCAUCAUCCCAGUUUUCUUAGGGGAAAUGA